GCGACGGUAGCUCAGUUGGUUAGAGCACCUGGUUGUGGUCCAGGGGGUCGGGGGUUCGAGUCCCCUCCGUCGCC
RNAcentral lists this transfer RNA (74 nucleotides) under Gammaproteobacteria bacterium. RNAcentral's name for it is "tRNA-His". It matches the Rfam family "tRNA". Rfam says of the family: Transfer RNA (tRNA) molecules are approximately 80 nucleotides in length. Their secondary structure includes four short double-helical elements and three loops (D, anti-codon, and T loops). The record is from RNAcentral. Lineage: Bacteria; Pseudomonadati; Pseudomonadota; Gammaproteobacteria. RNAcentral also lists the same sequence under 2 other names.